GAAAUGCGAUAAGUAGUGUGAAUUGCAGAAUUCAGUGAAUCAUCGAAUCUUUGAACGCACAUUGCGCCCUUUGGUAUUCCUUAGGGCAUGCCUGUUCGAGCGUCAUCUAAACCUUCAAGCCCUGCUUGGUGUUGGGUGCCUGUCCCGCCUCCGCGCGCGGACUCACCUCAAAUCCAUUGGCGGCCCCCGCGUCGGCCACGAGCGCAGCAGAAACGCGAACUCGUGAGCCCGUCCGGGCGGCUCCCAUAAGCUACACCCACCCAGUUUGACCUCGGAUCAGGUAGGGAUACCCGCUGAACUUAAGC
RNAcentral lists this unclassified non-coding RNA (305 nucleotides) under plant metagenome. RNAcentral's name for it is "partial contains 5.8S ribosomal RNA, internal transcribed spacer 2, and large subunit ribosomal RNA". The stretch from base 1 to 105 matches the Rfam family "5.8S ribosomal RNA", at positions 50 to 154 of the family's 154-position model. The record is from RNAcentral.